GUGGGAUAAUUGUAGGAUAGGCUACUCACAUAAAUUAGACAAUUUUCAAUUAGAGGCUGCCAUAAUAGUAAUCGGUCUACCAAUGUUUACUUAAACUGAAACUAUAUUCUGAGGUUGGCUGGGAAUCUCUUUUUGAAAGAAGAAUAUUACAGAAGUUUUAUAACAUGAACCAAAGGCAUGCACCAGAGUACCUAUGUAAUCUUGUUCCUCGAUGUAUACAAAGUACAACCAACUAUCCGUUGCAAAAUGGUCAUGAUAGUAUUGAUCCAUUGUGUAGACUAGCCCUUACUACUGAAUCGUUUAUUCCCUUAUUCUUUUAACAGUUAGAUACAAAACUGUUAAUUUGCGGACACUUGGAACUUUCGAACGAACAAAAUAUUCAACUUUUCAAACAUGUUCAAAAUUUCAUAAAUGGUCAAACAGAUUUUAUGCCUUGAUAGAGCGUUAUUGGUACUGGCACAAAACAUCAUCGUCAUCAUCAUAGAUUUGUUUGACUUUUCAAACUUUCUUUUUCCCUUUUUUCUUUCUCUCCUCUUUUUAAUUUUGAAAGGUAGUUAUAUAUUCUAUAAACGGUUUGCUUUAUCUGCAUGUCCAUUAGUAUAUUAUUGUAAUUUUAUAUUGUAUUACGGAGAAGACUUCAUAAGUAUGAUUUACUUGUGUCUUAUCCAUUUUGCUUUCAGCAAAUAAAAUAUGUUUAAACUAGUCUUUUGUAGGCGCGUCACUGAUGAGUCUUUUGUAGCGCAAAUACAAAAUGUCAAUCCUGGUAUCUAUUAUAACUUUAUUUGUGAGUUAAUAGUUUAAACUAAAUCAAUGCAUGUGAAAUAGAUUGGUUUCUGCAAUGUUGUGGUCUUGGCAUCAGUUUUAUUAUAAUAUUAUAAUUAUUUUGAAUCAACUAAAUUUUUCUAAAAUAAAUGAAAUACAGUAGGAGGGUUCUGUUAAGUAAAA
RNAcentral lists this long non-coding RNA (945 nucleotides) under Mytilus galloprovincialis (Mediterranean mussel). Lineage: Eukaryota; Metazoa; Mollusca; Bivalvia; Mytilida; Mytilidae. The record is from RNAcentral.